RNAcentral lists this ribosomal RNA (254 nucleotides) under uncultured bacterium. RNAcentral's name for it is "partial 16S ribosomal RNA". It matches the Rfam family "Bacterial small subunit ribosomal RNA", at positions 524 to 776 of the family's 1533-position model. The record is from RNAcentral.
UACGGAGGGGGCAAGCGUUGUUCGGAAUUACUGGGCGUAAAGGGCGCGCAGGCGGCUGCUCAAGUCAGGCGUGAAAGGCCUGGGCUCAACCCGGGAAUUGCGCUUGAGACUGGGCUGGCUUGAGUGCGGGAGAGGAUGGUGGAAUUCCCAGUGUAGAGGUGAAAUUCGUAGAUAUUGGGAAGAACACCGGUGGCGAAGGCGGCUCACUGGCUCGUUUCUGACGCUCAGGCGCGACAGCGUGGGGAUCAAACAGG